GUGGAUUUAACAGGUGACGUCAAUAAGGGACCAUAGCUUUCACCUGGAUUCACCUGUUUCCUACACUCAGUAUAUAUUAUUUGUUGGUCCUUCCUUCCGGGAACCAAGUUUAUAUACAUGGCUGGAACAUUUUCCCAUGCAGUUAGUUGCAUUGUUUCAAAUAACAUAGAUACAACUUCACCACUUUCCUGAAGAGCCUCAGAAGUUACAAAUCAAUGAGCUGAGAUCAAGGAGAUCAUGCAAGGGAUAAAACGUUGUGUCACAAGGAGGUUGUGGAUAUAAUGGAAUACCAGCAGCAAGAAUGCGGCAAGGAGGUCAGAGUGCUGCUGUUAGGUGACACAGAGCUGAUUUGAUUGUACAGUUCAAACGAAGUGGUUCAAAUGAAUCAAAUCUGGUUUAGAGAUUGAGUGGUGUAACGUAUAUGCUGGGAGUCAGGAAACAGGUGCAGAAGUUCAAACAAAGUGGUUCAAAUGAAUAAAAUCUGGUUUAGAGAUUGA
This 497-nucleotide long non-coding RNA is filed under the name Salmo salar (Atlantic salmon). Its description in RNAcentral is "lncRNA (ENSSSAG00000101141.1)". The record is from RNAcentral. Lineage: Eukaryota; Metazoa; Chordata; Actinopteri; Salmoniformes; Salmonidae.